This 490-nucleotide ribosomal RNA is filed under the name uncultured bacterium. Its description in RNAcentral is "partial 16S ribosomal RNA". It matches the Rfam family "Bacterial small subunit ribosomal RNA", at positions 30 to 507 of the family's 1533-position model. The record is from RNAcentral.
AUUGAACGCUGGCGGCAGGCUUAACACAUGCAAGUCGAGCGGUAACAGAGAGAAGCUUGCUUCUCUGCUGACGAGCGGCGGACGGGUGAGUAAUGCCUAGGAAUCUGCCUAGUAGUGGGGGAUAACUUGCCGAAAGGUAAGCUAAUACCGCAUACGUCCUACGGGAGAAAGGAGGGGACCUUCGGGCCUUUCGCUAUUAGAUGAGCCUAGGUCGGAUUAGUUAGUUGGUGAGGUAAUGGCCCACCAAGACCGCGAUCCGUAACUGGUCUGAGAGGAUGAUCAGUCACACUGGAACUGAGACACGGUCCAGACUCCUACGGGAGGCAGCAGUGGGGAAUAUUGGACAAUGGGGGGAACCCUGAUCCAGCCAUGCCGCGUGUGUGAAGAAGGUCUUAGGAUUGUAAAGCACUUUAAGUUGGGAGGAAGAGCAGUUAACUAAUAUUUGACUGUUUUGACGUUACCGACAGAAUAAGCACCGGCUAACUUCGUG